GACGGAGGGUGCUAGCGUUGUUCGGAAUCACUGGGCGUAAAGGGCGCGUAGGCGGCCUUGCAAGUCGGUUGGUGAAAGCCCGGGGCUCAACCCCGGAGGUGCGGCCGAGACUGCAGGGCUGGAGGCCGGAAGAGGAGGGUGGAAUACCCAGUGUAGAGGUGAAAUUCGUAGAUAUUGGGUGGAACACCGGUGGCGAAGGCGGCUCACUGGCCCGGUACUGACGCUGAGGUGCGAAAGCGUGGGGAGCAAACAGG
RNAcentral lists this ribosomal RNA (254 nucleotides) under uncultured bacterium. RNAcentral's name for it is "partial 16S ribosomal RNA". It matches the Rfam family "Bacterial small subunit ribosomal RNA", at positions 524 to 776 of the family's 1533-position model. The record is from RNAcentral.